UGGGGAAUAUUGGACAAUGGGCGAAAGCCUGAUCCAGCAAUGCCGCGUGUGUGAUGAAGGCCUUCGGGUCGUAAAGCACUUUCAGUUGGGAAGAGGGCUUGUUAGCUAAUACCUGACAAGUUGACGUUACCAUCAAAAGAAGCACCGGCUAACUCUGUGCCAGCAGCCGCGGUAAUACAGAGGGUGCGAGCGUUAAUCGGAAUUACUGGGCGUAAAGGGCACGUAGGUUGGUAUUUAAGUCAGAUGUGAAAUCCUCGAGCUCAACUUGAGAACUGCAUUUGAUACUGAAUACCUAGAGUUUGGUAGAGGGAAGUGGAAUUUCCGAUGUAGCGGUGAUAUGCAUAGAUAUCGGAAGGAACACCAGUGGCGAAGGCGGCUUCCUGGACCAAUACUGACACUGAGGUGCGAAAGCGUGGGUAGCAAACAGG
RNAcentral lists this ribosomal RNA (428 nucleotides) under uncultured bacterium. RNAcentral's name for it is "bacterial SSU rRNA". It matches the Rfam family "Bacterial small subunit ribosomal RNA", at positions 355 to 776 of the family's 1533-position model. The record is from RNAcentral.